Molecule: ribosomal RNA, 420 nt
Filed under: bacterium
Lineage: Bacteria
Description: partial 16S ribosomal RNA
Rfam family: Bacterial small subunit ribosomal RNA
Source: RNAcentral
UGGGGGAUAUUGCACAAUGGGCGAAAGCCUGAUGCAGCGACGCCGCGUGGGGGAUGAAGGCUUUCGGGUUGUAAACCUCUUUCGCUAUCGAACAAGGCCCGCUUAGGGUGGGUUGAGGGUAGGUGGAGAAGAAGCGCCGGCUAACUACGUGCCAGCAGCCGCGGUAAUACGUAGGGCGCGAGCGUUGUCCGGAAUUAUUGGGCGUAAAGGGCUUGUAGGCGGCUUGUUGCGCCUGCUGUGAAAACGCGGGGCUUAACUUCGCGCGUGCAGUGGGUACGGGCAGGCUUGAGUGUGGUAGGGGUGACUGGAAUUCCAGGUGUAGCGGUGGAAUGCGCAGAUAUCUGGAGGAACACCGAUGGCGAAGGCAGGUCACUGGGCCAUUACUGACGCUGAGGGGCGAAAGCAUGGGUAGCGAACAGG